AAGACUUUGGAGUUAGACGCCGUGAACACUGAUUCCAUCCGAGAUUCCACAUUACAUUUAGUUGUCGUGUCUGCUGAGGCUGCUCAUGGCUGAGACGGUUUCUUAACUUCCCUUGGUUUUGAUGACCUUGACAGCUCUGAGGGGUACUUGUCAGGUCUUCUGUAGAAUGCCUCUCAACUGAGAUUUCUGACGAUUUUCUCAUGAUUAGACUGCGGUUACACGUUUUGGGGAAGAAGACCACAGAAGUAAACUGCCAUUUUCAUCGCAUCAUAUCAAGGGGCCAUACUAUCAACAUGACCCGUCACUGUUGAUUUUGACCUUGAUUCCCUGGCUGGUGGCGUCUGUCACAUUUCUCCACUGUAAAGUGUCUCCCUUUCUUUUCCCUUUUCUGUACUGUACUCUGGAAGGACGUCACUGUGUGAAGCCCACACUUCUGGAGUGGGGAGUAAUGCUCCCCGCUGCGUGAGGGCAGAGUACCUACGUAAUUAUUUGAAAUUCUUCUGCACGCGAGAUUUGUCUAAUUUAUUCAAUCAAAUAUCAAUAUGGACUUGUGGAUAUUUAUUUUAUACUUUGGGUUGUAACCCAAUACUAGUUUAUUUUUCUCCUCAAAUUGUUCCACGUUUCGCCGUUGGGAGCUCUUUCAUCUGGCUCCCUCAUCCUUUUGACAUACUUGUAAGGUUGUGAGUUUAUCCUUGUUUGUUUGUUUCUUUGAGCACUUUCUUACUUUCUCACACUACAAGAUGCUACAGGCUUAUCUUGUAUAUUUCCUGCCCCGGUCCUAGGAUCGGUAGUCUACUAAUUUUUGACACUUGGAUUAUUUCCAGGUUUUUUUGUUUCUUUGUUUUUUGUUUUUUUUUUACCAUUUCUAAACAAGACUGCAAUGAACAUCUUUGAGAAUAUAUUCAUAGCAUCUCUAUUUAUAAAAGCCAAGACACUGCAACAGGUGAACCUGUAAACAAGCUGUGGUAGAACGAGACAAUGGAAUACUACUCAGCAAUGAGAAGAAAGGAACUAUUGCUAUGUGUAACAACAUACAAACAUCUCAAGAACACGCUGAGCCCAGACACAAAAGAGUGCAUUCAGGAUGAUUCCAUCUAUAUGAAGUUCCAAAACAGGCAAAACUAAGUCAUAAGGACAGAAAAUAAGCCAGUGCCUGGGGUGGGGUGCGAGGGGGGAGGAGACUGAUGGCAGAGGGCUCAAGGGGGCUUUGUGGGGUGAUGGAAAUGUUCUGUAUCUUGAAUGUAGUAGUGGUGACAUGGGUUUAUGCAGUUGUCAAAACUCUUUGUGCACUUAAAAUGUGGUGCAUUUCGUUGUAUGUAAAUUAUACCUCUAUGAAGUUGAUUAAAAGAAAACAACAUUAAAACUGAGUCCAGAUUGCAGGAAAAGCACCCCGAGGAGAGAGAAUAGGCAGGGAGACAUGGGCUCACCCUUGGCAGGUGUCCUCAGGGAAGGAGGCAGGCCCUCGUUGGCCUCUGUCACCCACGCUUGCCGCGCGGAGAUUCUCAUUCUGAUUCUGAUACGUGCCCCUCCCCGCGCCUCACCUCACCGCUGGAGGAGAGAAGGCAGCCCUCGUGCUGAACCAGCCCAGCUGCAGGGCCUGCGAUAGGGAGAAUGCAGGCUGCAGACACUGAGGGUGGACCCGCCGUCCCCCGCAGCCUGGAGGCUGGACAUGCCUUGGGACAUGUCCGCUUGUUGGGGUGCAGGGAAAAGUCUGGAACAGGCAGGGACCCAGGCAGCUUUGCUGCAGAAGCCUCGCUGACAGUACCUGGCAAAACUAGGGGCGCCUCCUCACUGCCUGCGCUCACAGGCAGAGGUUUGUGCAAACGCCAGGUAGGGGGUGGCCUGCUGGCUUGAAAUCGCCUCGCCAAGGGGGGAGCCCCAAGUCCUGGCACAACCAGCAGCAAGAGGAUACCUCGAAAAGGAGGCAGCACUGGGGGCUGGGGAGGACGGCAGGUGCCGGUGACACCGCAGGAGCGGCUCCUUGGAGGGUCCUGAGGAGGCCAGGCUUUGUGGACUCUGGCCUCAAGGGACAUGCCUGAGUGUCCCCGUCCACCUGCCGGCAGCCAUGCUGCGCGAUGAGCAGGACCACCUUAUGGAAACUUCAAGGGAACCUGAGCAGCGUGGGGGAGGGGGACAUUCGUAAAAGACUCGAUCUGCUGCCUGAGCAGAGUCUUGAGAUUGGAGGUAUUUAUGUAACAUAAGCUCAUCUGUUCCUUCGGGAACCUUUGUGGAGGGCCCUCAGUGAGUCAGCUGGUGUUUUAGUCACUGGGGGCAAAGCCGGGGCAAGACAGUCCGCUAAGGAGGUGACGCUUGAGCACAGCCCUUGUACCCAUGGGCCGGAGAAGCCUGGAACAUCCUGGUUACGGCGCAGAUGCCUAGCAGGGCAAUUUCUGGGUCAAAGGGCAUAAAUAUUUUGAGGCUUUGGAUAGAUGCUGCUAAAUUAUUCUCCCGCAAGUUUCCUAGGUUGCCUUUUUACGGGGGGGGGGGGGGGGCAACGCUGUGUGUUUUAGGAGGGCUUCAGAGAGUUUAAAGAGCCUGUGCGUGUGUGUGUGUGUGUGUGUGUGUGUGUGGUGGGCAAGGUCUCCUUUUCCAAAUGCCACCUUAGACGGGUGGUUCAAGCUCCUUUCCCACUCAUUUCAGACCUCAGAUUUUAGGAGCUAAACAUCCUAGUAGUUACUGUUCAGAAAGACCUGUGUUUAUGUCCCAGCUCUACCGCUCAUGGGCCGCAGUGCGACUUUGGACACCUUUGCCUAAUGCUGUGUAAGCCUCAGUUUUCUCAUCUGUGAAAUGGGCCUUCUGAUUAGGGCUUGGCUCAAAGAGCUAUGUGAGGGUUAGACAAGACAAUAGAAGCGAGGUACUUCACAGAGGACUCAGCACAUAGUAAGUGCUUGUGACGUUUAUUCUGCAAAAUCAGCAGUACCUGGGGCUCAGGAGCAGGCCCCCAGCACAGGGCAGCGUGCUCCCACGUGGACCCAGAGUUGGCACAGGCCUGCUCUGCGCCUCCUUCCAGACACCAGAUGGGUCAGUGCAGUUCAAUUGUCAUCCACUAAGAUUUCCCAUCUGGCCGAGGUUCCCUCCCCAGGUAGGAGUUAACCCGACUUUAAAAGGCCCCAAAUGAUGUGUGUGUCUGUGGUGUGCGUGUGUAAUUUUUUUCUCCUAGAAAAGAACCCCUAGGGAUCUUUCCACACUCCCCUAAGCAAAACCAGCUGAGCAGAGAGAGCCCAAACUUCUCAAAAACGAUUCACCUCUGCCCUUAGACCAGCUAUGGAAUGUUUUGACCCCAAAGGAUAUUGUAGGGGGAUGUGUCUGAAAAACCGCAGGCAAUUGGGAGCUGCGUCAGAGUGAAACCGUCACGAGCCCGCACACUCUUCAGUGACGGAUGUGGCAAGUUUUGAUCGCUUGCUUGCAAUCCUUUUUUAAAAACCCAAAAUGCAAACACGGCCAGUAUUCCACCUGGAACUCAGGAAAUGUUCUGCCUCUGUUCUCUUCACGUACUUUAUAUCGUGCACAUCAGUUUCUCACAUCCGCUCUCGUCUCUGAACAUCCCGAGGUCCCUGGGCUCGGCGAUCACACCCCAGCAGUUCCUUACGCUUUGCACCGAAAGACGUGCUGCUCGCUCAUCCUCCGCCUCCGCCUCCCCACCUCGGGGUGAGGCGUCUACAGCGAGGAACCGCUAAUCUGGAAAGCCCUGCGAGUCUGGGAUGAGCGACGGCUCCCAAAUACUGAUCUGCAGACCAAGUGUUCACUCAUCUCUAAGAUAAGAUGAGUAAGAGCAAUACAGAGAGGUUUUCGUAAAGCUAAACAUAAUCCAUUUUUGACUCGUAACGAUGUCCUCUUGAUUUUUUUUUUAAAUAUUCUUUUAUGAAAUUUAGUGGAAAUAGAUGAAGGUGAGUUGUGUUGGUUUUUUUAAUACUGUUCUUACUUGGCAACAUUAAAAGUUGGCAAAAUAAAAACUUGGCAAAAGUAUGCUCAUCAAAACGUGUUUUGAGAUUUUCCUAGUCUACAAACUCCCGAAGUCUGGAAUUCACCUGGAAAAGAAGCCACGUGCAUGAACUGAAGGAAAUGUACACAAACGGGAUACGGCUCUGUGCUGUGCUCAGACACGCCAUUUCAGCUCAUCCUUACAACAACUCUGGAGAGGGAGAUAGUAUUUCAUUUGAUGGACCACGAAGGCGAGGCUUCUGGAAGUGAAAUGACGUGCCCACGGUCACUCAGCUAGGCACGGGGAGGGGAAAGCCUAGGAUUUGAACCCGGGCUGCCUGAAUCCGGAUCCAGAGUCCCCCUCUCUGUCUCACAGUGUCUGUUCCUGAACUGCCACACACAACAGGAGAUUAAGAAAAACAUCUAAAAUUGAAGUAGUGCAGAGCCUGACUCGGAAGCCACUGUGAAUAAAUGCCUUCAUAGAUUCAGAACAAUCUUCCCAUCCACGAGAGAGAGAGCGAGAAAGAGAGAGAGAUGAACUGCGGUGUUUUGUGCUCGGUGCACUUUCAAUAAACACAAUGGCUGAAAUUUUGAAAAUGUGAAGUGCUGAACCAUCCAGGACAAGCGAAUUCCUGAUACGAAGGGGCCGGGGCAGG
This 4577-nucleotide long non-coding RNA is filed under the name Equus asinus (donkey). RNAcentral describes it as "lncRNA (ENSEASG00005033987.1)". The record is from RNAcentral. Lineage: Eukaryota; Metazoa; Chordata; Mammalia; Perissodactyla; Equidae.